UACGUAGGGGCUAGCGUUAUCCGGAAUUACUGGGCGUAAAGGGUGCGUAGGUGGUUUCUUAAGUCAGGGGUGAAAGGCUACGGCUCAACCGUAGUAAGCCUUUGAAACUGAGAAACUUGAGUGCAGGAGAGGAGAGUGGAAUUCCUAGUGUAGCGGUGAAAUGCGUAGAUAUUAGGAGGAACACCAGUUGCGAAGGCGGCUCUCUGGACUGUAACUGACACUGAGGCACGAAAGCGUGGGGAGCAAACAGGAUUAGAUACCCUGGUAGUCCCUGAG
RNAcentral lists this ribosomal RNA (276 nucleotides) under uncultured prokaryote. RNAcentral describes it as "partial 16S ribosomal RNA". It matches the Rfam family "Bacterial small subunit ribosomal RNA", at positions 524 to 801 of the family's 1533-position model. The record is from RNAcentral.